Molecule: long non-coding RNA, 476 nt
Organism: Ctenocephalides felis (cat flea)
Lineage: Eukaryota; Metazoa; Arthropoda; Insecta; Siphonaptera; Pulicidae
Exons: 3
Source: RefSeq, a predicted model, not a curated record
GGGACUCCAUUGGAAACACAUGGCCAUAAAAAAGAAAACCUGUUCAAGAAGUGAGUACUUUAGAAAUAAUGUAGCUAGUUAGUUGUGCAAGAAAUAUUUCGCGUUUGGUCGCUUUUAAUGUGACACACGGUUUGUGCAAUCUUGAUGCAAGAUAACUGGAGCCCCCUUGGGAGUCAUUAGCGGUGGAUCGAGUUAUAAUUGAAAGGUUGUAUCGAAUUGCUAACUUGACUAGUACUGCUGAUCGUGCUGUCCCAAAACACUCGUCAAGAUUCUACUAUGUGUUGCAUUGAGAAGCCAAUGUCAAGAACCUAAAUGUAACAUGGGAGAAAUUCAUGUAUCAAAUCUGAGGAAUUAAGACCAGAGUGAAGUGACCGGCAACCGAUGAACCUCAUUGUCAUGUUUGGGUGUCUUAGACUUCUGGCCUCUGAUGACUUCGAUGUCUUUUGUAAUUAGAUACUUCAAGACAAAGUGAAGUG